GAAAUGCGAUAAGUAAUGUGAAUUGCAGAAUUCAGUGAAUCAUCGAAUCUUUGAACGCACAUUGCGCCCGCCAGCAUUCUGGCGGGCAUGCCUGUUCGAGCGUCAUUUCAACCCUCGAGCCCCCCCGGGGGCCUCGGUGUUAGGGGACGGCACACCAGCCGCCCCCGAAAUGCAGUGGCGACCCCGCCGCAGCCUCCCCUGCGUAGUAGCACACACCUCGCACCGGAGCGCGGAGGCGGUCACGCCGUAAAACGCCCAACUUUCUUAGAGUUGACCUCGGAUCAGGUAGGAAUACGCGCUGAACUUGAGC
RNAcentral lists this unclassified non-coding RNA (310 nucleotides) under plant metagenome. RNAcentral's name for it is "partial contains 5.8S ribosomal RNA, internal transcribed spacer 2, and large subunit ribosomal RNA". The stretch from base 1 to 105 matches the Rfam family "5.8S ribosomal RNA", at positions 50 to 154 of the family's 154-position model. The record is from RNAcentral.